Long non-coding RNA from Coregonus clupeaformis (lake whitefish), 1067 nucleotides. RefSeq lists it as uncharacterized. The transcript is spliced from 6 exons. The record is from RefSeq and is a predicted model, not a curated record. Lineage: Eukaryota; Metazoa; Chordata; Actinopteri; Salmoniformes; Salmonidae.
AGGGGAAGAAAUAGAUCACAUCAUCUGUCUGUCCACAGCCUUCCUCUGGGCAUCUAAAAGGUGGCCCUUGUGUCAUGCUCAAACCGCCACAGAAGAAAUGGGAGUGGAGAACACAGAGGAAUCUGCCAGGACUUCAGCAUGGUUCUCUUAUUCUGCUUGGUAUGAUGAGAAGCUUUCAGUGAAGACUGGAGUUCCCCGGUUGUUUUCCCUCCAGUCGCCAGGCAAUGGAAUAACUCUCGGAAGGGGUAGCGAGCAAAAGACCAGCGUUCAGCGAGGAGCCUGAGCGGCUGUACGCUGAAGUAGGAGCACUGGCUUUUGGAAAAAUCUGCGGACUACCGGGCGAGUAAAGAGAGAGAGAAAGCCUACCGCUGUUUCGGUCGAGCAGAGAACGAGAUCUCCGGCGGCUGAAGAGUGGUUCUUGAAUCGGACAGAUACGGUUCCAUCCUCUUUUCUGCCAAUCACGCAAAGAUGAGGACAACACCCAAACUGGCACGAUAACAACGCCGUAUAAGAAGAGGACCCAAUUCUUCCAAAAGGCCUUGAUUUUGCUCCGCCGCGGUCCGCGCAGAGGCUGCCGCAGCUAUAUGGACAGCAACAGGUGUUUUCCCUGCCAUGGUUGUGAUAAUUGGAUUUUCUGGACACCUGUAUGAGUGCAGUAUAUCCAGCGGAUUAUAACCAGGGAGAGGGUGUCCUUCUGAUGCUCUUGAUGCACAUCCAAGGGUGAGUGGGUAAUGGAGAUGGAGGUCUUUCUGCUGUAACCCUGGCCUCCAAGAUCAGCUUCAAAGACAGGACCUAAGGAGAGAUCAGUCACGCAAAACACAUCUACACAACACUGCUUCUGCUGCAAACGUGAUGGCAUGAUUUGUCUCUGUGAAGACAAAACAAUAUACACCUUGUGAAAUUCUCAGAUCAUGGUUCAUUUUGAAACUGUUAAAACUGAAACAGUGAAACUUUUUACCAAUAGAGGUUACGCUGCUUAUGAUAUGAACUGUAUCGUCCAUUCAUGUAUUGGAUUUCUUGAUGAUACAUAUCUUCAAUCUGUGAUCAUAUUAAAUCAAUGAAAUCAU